GUGGGGAAUAUUGGACAAUGGGGGGAACCCUGAUCCAGCCAUGCCGCGUGUGUGAAGAAGGCCUUUUGGUUGUAAAGCACUUUAAGCGAGGAGGAGGCUACCGAGAUUAAUACUCUUGGAUAGUGGACGUUACUCGCAGAAUAAGCACCGGCUAACUCUGUGCCGGCAGCCGCGGUAAUACAGAGGGUGCAAGCGUUAAUCGGAUUGACUGGGCGUAAAGCGCGCGUAGGUGGACUAUUAAGUCAAAGUUGAAAUCCCCGAGCUUAACUUGGGAAUUGCAUUCGAUACUGGUUGGCUAGAGUAUGGGAGAGGAUAGUAGAAUUCCAGGUGUAGCGGUGAAAUGCGUAGAGAUCUGGAGGAAUACCGAUGGCGAAGGCAGCCAUCUGGCCUAAUACUGACACUGAGGUGCGAAAGCAUGGGGAGCAAACAGGAUUAGAAACCCCGGUAGUCC
RNAcentral lists this ribosomal RNA (451 nucleotides) under uncultured bacterium. RNAcentral describes it as "partial 16S ribosomal RNA". It matches the Rfam family "Bacterial small subunit ribosomal RNA", at positions 354 to 796 of the family's 1533-position model. The record is from RNAcentral.